This 494-nucleotide ribosomal RNA is filed under the name uncultured bacterium. Its description in RNAcentral is "partial 16S ribosomal RNA". It matches the Rfam family "Bacterial small subunit ribosomal RNA", at positions 31 to 507 of the family's 1533-position model. The record is from RNAcentral.
GAACGCAGGCGGCGUGCCUAAUACAUGCAAGUCGAGCGAACAGACGAGGAGCUUGCUCCUCUGACGUUAGCGGCGGACGGGUGAGUAACACGUGGAUAACCUACCUAUAAGACUGGGAUAACUUCGGGAAACCGGAGCUAAUACCGGAUAAUAUAUUGAACCGCAUGGUUCAAUAGUGAAAGACGGUUUUGCUGUCACUUAUAGAUGGAUCCGCGCCGCAUUAGCUAGUUGGUAAGGUAACGGCUUACCAAGGCAACGAUGCGUAGCCGACCUGAGAGGGUGAUCGGCCACACUGGAACUGAGACACGGUCCAGACUCCUACGGGAGGCAGCAGUAGGGAAUCUUCCGCAAUGGGCGAAAGCCUGACGGAGCAACGCCGCGUGAGUGAUGAAGGUCUUCGGAUCGUAAAACUCUGUUAUUAGGGAAGAACAAAUGUGUAAGUAACUAUGCACGUCUUGACGGUACCUAAUCAGAAAGCCACGGCUAACUACGUG